Molecule: ribosomal RNA, 563 nt
Filed under: uncultured Methanosarcina sp.
Lineage: Archaea; Methanobacteriati; Methanobacteriota; Methanomicrobia; Methanosarcinales; Methanosarcinaceae
Description: bacterial SSU rRNA
Rfam family: Archaeal small subunit ribosomal RNA
Source: RNAcentral
GCAGCAGGCGGGAAAGCUUUACAAUCCGGGAAGCCGUGAUAAGUGGGCGACGAGUGCCAGCAUCAUAAGCCGGCUGUUCGGGUGGGUAAAAUCCCCCCGUUAGCAAGGGCCGGGCAAGACCGGUGCCAGCCGCCGCGGUAACACCGGCGGCUCGAGUGGUGAUCGUGAUUAUUGGGUCUAAAGGGUUCGUAGCCGGUUUGGUCAGUCCUCCGGGAAAUCUGAUGGCUCAACCAUUAGGCUUUUGGGGGAUACUGCCAGUCUUGGAACCGGGAGAGGUAAGAGGUACUUCAGGGGUAGGAGUGAAAUCUUGUAAUCCCUGUGGGACCACCUGUGGCGAAGGCGUCUCACCAGAACGGGUUCGACGGUGAGGGACGAAAGCUGGGGGCACGAACCGGAUUAGAUACCCGGGUAGUCCCAGCCGUAAACGAUGCUCGUUAGGUGUCAGGCAUGGCGCGACUGUGUGUGGUGCCGCAGGGAAGCCGUGAAGCGAGCCACCUGGGAAGUACGGCCGCAAGGCUGAAACUUAAAGGAAUUGGCGGGGGAGCACAAGGGCGAAUUCGCGG